GGUUAAGCGACUAAGCGUACACGGUGGAUGCCCUGGCAGUCAGAGGCGAUGAAGGACGUGCUAAUCUGCGAUAAGCGUCGGUAAGGUGAUAUGAACCGUUAUAACCGGCGAUUUCCGAAUGGGGAAACCCAGUGUGAUUCGUCACACUAUCAUUAACUGAAUCCAUAGGUUAAUGAGGCGAACCGGGGGAACUGAAACAUCUAAGUACCCCGAGGAAAAGAAAUCAACCGAGAUUCCCCCAGUAGCGGCGAGCGAACGGGGAGCAGCCCAGAGCCUGAAUCAGUGUGUGUGUUAGUGGAAGCGUCUGGAAAGGCGCGCGAUACAGGGUGACAGCCCCGUACACAAAAAUGCACAUGCUGUGAGCUCGAUGAGUAGGGCGGGACACGUGGUAUCCUGUCUGAAUAUGGGGGGACCAUCCUCCAAGGCUAAAUACUCCUGACUGACCGAUAGUGAACCAGUACCGUGAGGGAAAGGCGAAAAGAACCCCGGCGAGGGGAGUGAAAAAGAACCUGAAACCGUGUACGUACAAGCAGUGGGAGCACAGAGCAAUCUGUGUGACUGCGUACCUUUUGUAUAAUGGGUCAGCGACUUAUAUUCUGUAGCAAGGUUAACCGAAUAGGGGAGCCGAAGGGAAACCGAGUCUUAACUGGGCGUUAAGUUGCAGGGUAUAGACCCGAAACCCGGUGAUCUAGCCAUGGGCAGGUUGAAGGUUGGGUAACACUAACUGGAGGACCGAACCGACUAAUGUUGAAAAAUUAGCGGAUGACUUGUGGCUGGGGGUGAAAGGCCAAUCAAACCGGGAGAUAGCUGGUUCUCCCCGAAAGCUAUUUAGGUAGCGCCUCGUGAAUUCAUCUCCGGGGGUAGAGCACUGUUUCGGCAAGGGGGUCAUCCCGACUUACCAACCCGAUGCAAACUGCGAAUACCGGAGAAUGUUAUCACGGGAGACACACGGCGGGUGCUAACGUCCGUCGUGAAGAGGGAAACAACCCAGACCGCCAGCUAAGGUCCCAAAGUCAUGGUUAAGUGGGAAACGAUGUGGGAAGGCCCAGACAGCCAGGAUGUUGGCUUAGAAGCAGCCAUCAUUUAAAGAAAGCGUAAUAGCUCACUGGUCGAGUCGGCCUGCGCGGAAGAUGUAACGGGGCUAAACCAUGCACCGAAGCUGCGGCAGCGACGCUUAUGCGUUGUUGGGUAGGGGAGCGUUCUGUAAGCCUGCGAAGGUGUGCUGUGAGGCAUGCUGGAGGUAUCAGAAGUGCGAAUGCUGACAUAAGUAACGAUAAAGCGGGUGAAAAGCCCGCUCGCCGGAAGACCAAGGGUUCCUGUCCAACGUUAAUCGGGGCAGGGUGAGUCGACCCCUAAGGCGAGGCCGAAAGGCGUAGUCGAUGGGAAACAGGUUAAUAUUCCUGUACUUGGUGUUACUGCGAAGGGGGGACGGAGAAGGCUAUGUUGGCCGGGCGACGGUUGUCCCGGUUUAAGCGUGUAGGCUGGUUUUCCAGGCAAAUCCGGAAAAUCAAGGCUGAGGCGUGAUGACGAGGCACUACGGUGCUGAAGCAACAAAUGCCCUGCUUCCAGGAAAAGCCUCUAAGCAUCAGGUAACAUCAAAUCGUACCCCAAACCGACACAGGUGGUCAGGUAGAGAAUACCAAGGCGCUUGAGAGAACUCGGGUGAAGGAACUAGGCAAAAUGGUGCCGUAACUUCGGGAGAAGGCACGCUGAUAUGUAGGUGAAGUCCCUCGCGGAUGGAGCUGAAAUCAGUCGAAGAUACCAGCUGGCUGCAACUGUUUAUUAAAAACACAGCACUGUGCAAACACGAAAGUGGACGUAUACGGUGUGACGCCUGCCCGGUGCCGGAAGGUUAAUUGAUGGGGUCAGCGCAAGCGAAGCUCUUGAUCGAAGCCCCGGUAAACGGCGGCCGUAACUAUAACGGUCCUAAGGUAGCGAAAUUCCUUGUCGGGUAAGUUCCGACCUGCACGAAUGGCGUAAUGAUGGCCAGGCUGUCUCCACCCGAGACUCAGUGAAAUUGAACUCGCUGUGAAGAUGCAGUGUACCCGCGGCAAGACGGAAAGACCCCGUGAACCUUUACUAUAGCUUGACACUGAACAUUGAGCCUUGAUGUGUAGGAUAGGUGGGAGGCUUUGAAGUGUGGACGCCAGUCUGCAUGGAGCCGACCUUGAAAUACCACCCUUUAAUGUUUGAUGUUCUAACGUGGACCCGUAAUCCGGGUUGCGGACAGUGUCUGGUGGGUAGUUUGACUGGGGCGGUCUCCUCCUAAAGAGUAACGGAGGAGCACGAAGGUUGGCUAAUCCUGGUCGGACAUCAGGAGGUUAGUGCAAUGGCAUAAGCCAGCUUGACUGCGAGCGUGACGGCGCGAGCAGGUGCGAAAGCAGGUCAUAGUGAUCCGGUGGUUCUGAAUGGAAGGGCCAUCGCUCAACGGAUAAAAGGUACUCCGGGGAUAACAGGCUGAUACCGCCCAAGAGUUCAUAUCGACGGCGGUGUUUGGCACCUCGAUGUCGGCUCAUCACAUCCUGGGGCUGAAGUAGGUCCCAAGGGUAUGGCUGUUCGCCAUUUAAAGUGGUACGCGAGCUGGGUUUAGAACGUCGUGAGACAGUUCGGUCCCUAUCUGCCGUGGGCGCUGGAGAAUUGAGGGGGGCUGCUCCUAGUACGAGAGGACCGGAGUGGACGCAUCACUGGUGUUCGGGUUGUCAUGCCAAUGGCACUGCCCGGUAGCUAAAUGCGGAAGAGAUAAGUGCUGAAAGCAUCUAAGCACGAAACUUGCCCCGAGAUGAGUUCUCCCUGACUCCUUGAGAGUCCUGAAGGAACGUUGAAGACGACGACGUUGAUAGGCCGGGUGUGUAAGCGCAGCGAUGCGUUGAGCUAACCGGUACUAAUGAACCGUGAGGCUUAACCUUACAACGCCGAAGCUGUUUUG
RNAcentral lists this ribosomal RNA (2926 nucleotides) under Escherichia coli. Its description in RNAcentral is "bacterial LSU rRNA". It matches the Rfam family "Bacterial large subunit ribosomal RNA". Lineage: Bacteria; Pseudomonadati; Pseudomonadota; Gammaproteobacteria; Enterobacterales; Enterobacteriaceae. The record is from RNAcentral.